CACCAGACUCCUACGGGAGGCAGCAGUGGGGAAUAUUGCACAAUGGGGGAAACCCUGAUGCAGCAACGCCGCGUGGGUGAAGGAGCGUUUCGGCGCGUAAAGCCCUGUCAGCGGGGAAGAAGAAAGACGGUACCCGACCAAGAAGCCCCGGCUAACUACGUGCCAGCAGCCGCGGUAAUACGUAGGGGGCGAGCGUUAUCCGGAAUUACUGGGUGUAAAGGGAGCGUAGACGGCAGUGCAAGUCUGAAGUGAAAGGCGGGGGCCCAACCCCCGGACUGCUUUGGAAACUGUGCUGCUGGAGUGCAGGGGAGGCAAGUGGAAUUCCUAGUGUAGCGGUGAAAUGCGUAGAUAUUAGGAGGAACACCAGUGGCGAAGGCGGCUUGCUGGACUGUAACUGACGUUGAGGCUCGAAAGCGUGGGGAGCAAACAGGAUUAGAUACCCGCGUA
RNAcentral lists this ribosomal RNA (447 nucleotides) under uncultured bacterium. RNAcentral's name for it is "partial 16S ribosomal RNA". It matches the Rfam family "Bacterial small subunit ribosomal RNA", at positions 329 to 792 of the family's 1533-position model. The record is from RNAcentral.